CUUUGUGGCGACCGGCGCACGGGUGCGUAACGCGUAUGCAACCUACCUUUAACAGGGGGAUAACACUGAGAAAUUGGUACUAAUUCCCCAUAACAUUCGAGAAGGCAUCUUCUUGGGUUAAAAACUCCGGUGGUUAAAGAUGGGCAUGCGUUGUAUUAGCUAGUUGGUGAGGUAACGGCUCACCAAGGCAACGAUACAUAGGGGGACUGAGAGGUUAACCCCCCACAUUGGUACUGAGACACGGACCAA
Molecule: ribosomal RNA, 249 nt
Filed under: uncultured bacterium
Lineage: Bacteria
Description: partial 16S ribosomal RNA
Rfam family: Bacterial small subunit ribosomal RNA
Source: RNAcentral